Long non-coding RNA from Homarus americanus (American lobster), 326 nucleotides. RefSeq lists it as uncharacterized. The transcript is spliced from 2 exons. The record is from RefSeq and is a predicted model, not a curated record. NCBI's taxonomy places the organism in Eukaryota, Metazoa, Arthropoda, Malacostraca, Decapoda, Nephropidae.
GGUAUUUAUGAGAGUUAUAUUCCGGGAAAAUGUUCUUUUUCAGCCCAUGAGUGUGUAGUGGGUCAGCCCGGCCACUCCCACAAGACCUUGACCGCACAGGGGUUGCCAGUCCUCAGCCACUGCAAGAUGAUACGUUUCACCACCUGAGAGAUCCACUGACUGUCAGCAGACCUACACUCAGCUGUAACAAGUUACAUUACGAGACCCGGCCAGGGACCUCAAGCUACACGAUAAGCCCACUGGAGUUUAAUAGGUCUACUGUGGCAUCAAGGAGACCCAACAUCUGGCGACAGAGAUAAGUGCCAUAAUAAUAUCUAAUACCUGUC